AGUGAACGCUGGCGGUAGGCCUAACACAUGCAAGUCGAACGGCAGCACAGUAAGAGCUUGCUCUUACGGGUGGCGAGUGGCGGACGGGUGAGGAAUACAUCGGAAUCUACUUUUUUGUGGGGGAUAACGUAGGGAAACUUACGCUAAUACCGCAUACGACCUACGGGUGAAAGCAGGGGAUCUUCGGACCUUGCGCGAUUGAAUGAGCCGAUGUCGGAUUAGCUAGUUGGCGGGGUAAAGGCCCACCAAGGCGACGAUCCGUAGCUGGUCUGAGAGGAUGAUCAGCCACACUGGAACUGAGACACGGUCCAGACUCCUACGGGAGGCAGCAGUGGGGAAUAUUGGACAGUGGGCGCAAGCCUGAUCCAGCCAUACCGCGUGGGUGAAGAAGGCCUUCGGGUUGUAAAGCCCUUUUGUUGGGAAAGAAAAGCAGCAGGUUAAUACCCCGCUGUUCUGACGGUACCCAAAGAAUAAGCACCGGCUAACUUCGU
RNAcentral lists this ribosomal RNA (491 nucleotides) under uncultured bacterium. RNAcentral's name for it is "partial 16S ribosomal RNA". It matches the Rfam family "Bacterial small subunit ribosomal RNA", at positions 29 to 506 of the family's 1533-position model. The record is from RNAcentral.